UGAGUAACACGUGGGAACCUGCCUCUUUGUUCGGAAUAACUGCGGGAAACUGCAGCUAAUACCGGAUACGCCCUACGGGGGAAAGAUUUAUCGCAGAGAGAGGGGCCCGCGUCCGAUUAGGUAGUUGGUGGGGUAACGGCCUACCAAGCCGACGAUCGGUAGCUGGUCUGAGAGGAUGAUCAGCCACACUGGGACUGAGACACGGCCCAGACUCCUACGGGAGGCAGCAGUGGGGAAUAUUGGACAAUGGGCGCAAGCCUGAUCCAGCAAUGCCGCGUGAAUGAUGAAGGCCUUAGGGUUGUAAAGUUCUUUCGGCGGGGACGAUGAUGACGGUACCCGCAGAAGAAGCCCCGGCUAACUUCGUGCCAGCAGCCGCGGUAAUACGAAGGGGGCUAGCGUUGUUCGGAAUUACUGGGCGUAAAGGGCGCGUAGGCGGCCAUUCAAGUUAGGCGUGAAAGCCCUGGGCUCAACCUAGGAAUUGCGCUUGAUACUGUAUGGCUUGAGUUCGGGAGAGGUGAGUGGAAUUCCCAGUGUAGAGGUGAAAUUCGUAGAUAUUGGGAAGAACACCAGUGGCGAAGGCGGCUCACUGGACCGACACUGACGCUGAGGCGCGA
This 614-nucleotide ribosomal RNA is filed under the name Aliidongia sp. RNAcentral's name for it is "bacterial SSU rRNA". It matches the Rfam family "Bacterial small subunit ribosomal RNA", at positions 107 to 756 of the family's 1533-position model. The record is from RNAcentral. Lineage: Bacteria; Pseudomonadati; Pseudomonadota; Alphaproteobacteria; Rhodospirillales; Dongiaceae.